RNAcentral lists this ribosomal RNA (112 nucleotides) under uncultured eukaryote. RNAcentral describes it as "partial small subunit ribosomal RNA". It matches the Rfam family "Eukaryotic small subunit ribosomal RNA", at positions 1676 to 1785 of the family's 1831-position model. The record is from RNAcentral.
UCGCUACUACCGAUUGAACGUUUUAGUGAGGUGUUUGGAUCGGACCUCUUGGGACUCGCGUCCCGAGUGUUGUCUGAGAAGAUCCCCAAACUUGAGCGUUUAGAGGAAGUAA